RNAcentral lists this ribosomal RNA (253 nucleotides) under uncultured bacterium. Its description in RNAcentral is "partial 16S ribosomal RNA". It matches the Rfam family "Bacterial small subunit ribosomal RNA", at positions 524 to 776 of the family's 1533-position model. The record is from RNAcentral.
UACGGAGGGUGCAAACGUUGCUCGGAAUCACUGGGCGUAAAGCGCACGUAGGCGGUCCGAUAAGUCGGAUGUGAAAGCCCUGGGCUCAACCUAGGAAGUGCAUUCGAAACUGUCGGACUUGAGUACGGGAGAGGGUUGCGGAAUUCCCGGUGUAGAGGUGAAAUUCGUAGAUAUCGGGAGGAACACCAGUGGCGAAGGCGGCAGCCUGGACCGAUACUGACGCUGAGGAGCGAAAGCGUGGGGAGCAAACAGG